UACGUAGGGUGCGAGCGUUGUCCGGAAUUAUUGGGCGUAAAGAGCUCGUAGGCGGUCUGUCGCGUCGGUCGUGAAAACUUGGGGCUUAACCCUGAGCUUGCGGUCGAUACUGGCGUGCUUGAGGACUGGAGAGGAGACUGGAAUUUACGGUGUAGCAGUGAAAUGCGUAGAGAUCGUAAGGAAGACCAGUGGCGAAGGCGGGUCUCUGGACAGUUCCUGACACUGAGGCACGAAGGCCAGGGGAGCAAACGGG
This 253-nucleotide ribosomal RNA is filed under the name uncultured bacterium. RNAcentral describes it as "partial 16S ribosomal RNA". It matches the Rfam family "Bacterial small subunit ribosomal RNA", at positions 524 to 776 of the family's 1533-position model. The record is from RNAcentral.